Molecule: ribosomal RNA, 506 nt
Filed under: uncultured bacterium
Lineage: Bacteria
Description: partial 16S ribosomal RNA
Rfam family: Bacterial small subunit ribosomal RNA
Source: RNAcentral
AUUGAACGCUGGCGGCAGGCCUAACACAUGCAAGUCGGACGGUAGCACAGAGGAGCUUGCUCCUCGGGUGACGAGUGGCGGACGGGUGAGUAAUGUCUGGGGAUCUGCCCGAUAGAGGGGGAUAACCACUGGAAACGGUGGCUAAUACCGCAUAACGUCGCAAGACCAAAGAGGGGGACCUUCGGGCCUCUCACUAUCGGAUGAACCCAGAUGGGAUUAGCUAGUAGGGGGGGUAACGGCCCACCUAGGCGACGAUCCCUAGCUGGUCUGAGAGGAGGACCAGCCACACUGGAACUGAGACACGGUCCAGACUCCUACGGGAGGAAGCAGUGGGGAAUAUUGCACAAUGGGCGCAAGCCUGAUGCAGCCAUGCCGCGUGUAUGAAGAAGGCUUUCGGGUUGUAAAGUACUUUCAGCGGGGAGGAAGGCGAUGUGGUUAAUAACCGCAUUGAUUGACGUUACCCGCAGAAGAAGCACCGGCUAACUCCGUGCCAGCCGCCGCUGUAA